Molecule: ribosomal RNA, 491 nt
Filed under: uncultured bacterium
Lineage: Bacteria
Description: partial 16S ribosomal RNA
Rfam family: Bacterial small subunit ribosomal RNA
Source: RNAcentral
AGUGAACGCUGGCGGUAGGCCUAACACAUGCAAGUCGAACGGCAGCACAGUAAGAGCUUGCUCUUACGGGUGGCGAGUGGCGGACGGGUGAGGAAUACAUCGGAAUCUACUUUUUCGUGGGGGAUAACGUAGGGAAACUUACGCUAAUACCGCAUACGACCUACGGGUGAAAGCAGGGGAUCUUCGGACCUUGCGCGAGUGAAUGAGCCGAUGUCGGAUUAGCUAGUUGGCGGGGUAAAGGCCCACCAAGGCGACGAUCCGUAGCUGGUCUGAGAGGAUGAUCAGCCCCACUGAAGCUGAGACCCGGUCCAGACUCCUACGGGAGGCAGCAGUGGGAAAUAUUGGACAAUGGGCGAAAGCCUGAUCCAGCCAUACCGCGUGGGUGAAGAAGGCCUUCGGGUUGUAAAGCCCUUUUGUUGGGAAAGAAAAGCAGCAGGUUAAUACCCCGCUGUUCUGACGGUACCCAAAGAAUAAGCACCGGCUAACUUCGU